AGCGUAGACACUGUAGACUCGGGCCAAUAGGAGCGCCGAAACCCACUGUAGACGACCAACCGUCUGGUCGACGGAAGUUGCGUCACCAAAACAAAAACAACACAGCGAAGAAGCCGGCAAGUCCGCUAUUUUUUUUAAAUGGAAACUGGCAUUUCUUCUAUGUUUACGUGAAGUUACAGAGUCUGGAUUUAGCGGGAAUUACACGACGCUGAAUAGCGCAUUUAAGCCUUUUUCUUUGUGGUAAAUGUUAGCCGCGCGCUAGCCGACAUCUAAUGUAUUACGCCCAUUUCUAGUCUUUUCAGUGGCUACAACUGAUGAUCGCGGCAUUAGCAAUUCAUGUUGUAAAUCCAGACGCCCAUGCACCUCGUCAGCAGGCCUGGUGAGAAGUAUGGUCUUCACCAAACCUGCACACAGCAGCUGCUCAGCCGAGCCGCUGUCUUCACUCACGGACACGCGUCUUCAAGUCAACAUGGUGCUUUCCGUGGCUCGUUACAAACGAUCUGAGAUAUAUGAAGUAACAUGCCAUGUAAGGACAUCAGGAGGAACAGUGACAAAAGGAGCUGUGUGAGGCAGUGGAUCGCUCAGCAGCUGGAUUAAAAAGAGCACAGUCUACAAUCUCAGAUCAACACGGCCCUGCCCUCCAGCACUAUCAGCAACAGGAACAGCAGCUACCCCUCAACAGCAACAUUGUACCCCAUCAGGUAAAUCAUAGCCUACGUUUGCUUUGCAU
Oreochromis aureus is the source of this 730-nucleotide long non-coding RNA. RefSeq lists it as uncharacterized. The record is from RefSeq and is a predicted model, not a curated record. Lineage: Eukaryota; Metazoa; Chordata; Actinopteri; Cichliformes; Cichlidae. The transcript is spliced from 3 exons.